Molecule: long non-coding RNA, 835 nt
Organism: Gallus gallus (chicken)
Lineage: Eukaryota; Metazoa; Chordata; Aves; Galliformes; Phasianidae
Source: Ensembl
CUCCGUGUCAUCUCCCCGCCGCCAUCUCGUGCGCGGGGCGCGCGGCCGCGCGAAUCGCGGCUCCUGUGAGGUGAGGGUGGUCCUUUCGGAAAGGCGUUCGAGGCCGCGGGGCCGUGACGUGCAAGGCGGACACCCGCACUUCCUUACAGUGGGCGAGUCCAGCACGACGCUCCGCCUCACCUUCCUCCCGGGUCGUAAAAGCACAGACACACAGAGUCGGGUGCUAUCUGCUUGCUGACAAUCACUUCUGGCAGCCCCGUUCUACUGAUGCUGUAAUAGGAUUAGCGUUGUAGCUGCCACUGCCCCCAGGAGGAGUCUUGAGGCGUGGAGUCAACCGCCUUGCCAUAGACAACCUCCUGGGUGGACCUCCCACAGCAUCUGCACCUGUCUUUGGAGUUCCAGAGCCUCAAACCUAUGGUGUAAAUGCAUCUGGGAAGGCAGCAUAGGUAGGGAGGGAGUUCUGUUUCCAUUCCUUUCUGUCUCUUAGGUUCCCCACCCCCUGCCCGACUGCAACAGGGCAAGGGGUCCACUGCUUAUCUGAAUUGUUAUCACACCGCUGCCUUUCUCACAGAUAUGGCAGGGAGCUGCUCCACCAGUUUGUCUCCUGCUCACACUCCCUGAUGCUCUUUAAUCUCUUCAGCUCUGCCACCAGGCUGAGCAGGUCAUCCACCUCAUGCAGAUGGUAUUUCUGCCAUCGUGCGGGGGCAGCAGCAGGCUCAGGCACCCCCCGCAUCUAGAGACCCGAAGAGUGGGUAGGCACUCAGUCUGGGUAGCCACGUUCCUUUUGGCAAGAGCUUUCUGCCUAAUGGGGACCACGGCUGGAUUUGUAGCCUGG